Molecule: ribosomal RNA, 501 nt
Filed under: uncultured bacterium
Lineage: Bacteria
Description: partial 16S ribosomal RNA
Rfam family: Bacterial small subunit ribosomal RNA
Source: RNAcentral
AUUGAACGCUGGCGGCAGGCUUAACACAUGCAAGUCGAGCGGAGAUGAGGUGCUUGCACCUUAUCUUAGCGGCGGACGGGUGAGUAAUGCUUAGGAAUCUGCCUAUUAGUGGGGGACAACAUUCCGAAAGGAAUGCUAAUACCGCAUACGUCCUACGGGAGAAAGCAGGGGAUCUUCGGACCUUGCGCUAAUAGAUGAGCCUAAGUCGGAUUAGCUAGUUGGUGGGGUAAAGGCCUACCAAGGCGACGAUCUGUAGCGGGUCUGAGAGGAUGAUCCGCCACACUGGGGAUGCGACACGGCCCCGACUCCUACGGGAGGCAGCAGUGGGGAAUAUUGGGCAAUGGGGGGAACCCUGAUCCAGCCAUGCCGCGUGUGUGAAGAAGGCCUUAUGGUUGUAAAGCACUUUAAGCGAGGAGGAGGCUACUGAGACUAAUACUCUUGGAUAGUGGACGUUACUCGCAGAAUAAGCACCGGCUAACUCUGUGCCAGCCGCCGCCGUAA